AUUGAACGCUGGCGGCAUGCCUUACACAUGCAAGUCGAACGGCAGCGGACCUUCGGGUGCCGGCGAGUGGCGAACGGGUGAGUAAUAUAUCGGAACGUACCUUUCAGUGGGGGAUAACGUAGCGAAAGUUACGCUAAUACCGCAUAUUCUGUGAGCAGGAAAGCAGGGGAUCGCAAGACCUUGCGCUGAUUGAGCGGCCGAUAUCAGAUUAGCUAGUUGGUGAGGUAAAGGCUCACCAAGGCGACGAUCUCUAGCUGGUCUGAGAGGACGAUCAGCCACACUGGGACUGAGACACGGCCCAGACUCCUACGGGAGGCAGCAGUGGGGAAUAUUGGACAAUGGGCGAAAGCCUGAUCCAGCAAUGCCGCGUGUGUGAAGAAGGCCUGAGGGUUGUAAAGCACUCUCAAUCGUGAAGAAAAAGUUGCAGGCUAAUACCCUGUGACCUUGACGUUAACGAUACAAGAAGCACCGGC
This 473-nucleotide ribosomal RNA is filed under the name uncultured bacterium. Its description in RNAcentral is "bacterial SSU rRNA". It matches the Rfam family "Bacterial small subunit ribosomal RNA", at positions 30 to 497 of the family's 1533-position model. The record is from RNAcentral.